GUCUUGCAUGGUCAGGGGACUUCCCGAGCUUGCAGGAACUAUGACCUGAACUGUGUGAAUGAGACAGGUCUGAAGCCCAACAGCCAGCUCACCUGAACCACCCUCUCCCGGGCCAGCCUGGCAUCUGAAGAAACCUCCCUCAGAGUAUUGGAAAGGUUGAUGACAGAAUUUUUCCAUGACUGUACAACCAAUAAAAGAAAAACAUGAGAUAGAAGAGCUUCUUAAUAACUUUGCCCAGCAAAUAGGAGCCGGGAGAUUCUGCCUCUAUUUUCUCUCCAGCACCAGGAAUGACUAUGUAAUGAUGUAUAGUUUAAUGGUUUUUGAGAAUAAAAAUAAAUGUGGUUGAUCAAUAAAAUGUGGCUUUGGGGUCCCAUCUUAGGAUAAGAUAGAAAUCCAUGGCUGUCUGCCCAAACUCCUUUUGGCUCACCAUAAAACCUUACCUUACUUAAUAAGGAAUGUUAUUGUUGACAUAGGACAUCAGGAUUGGCCCAUAUUCUAC
This 499-nucleotide long non-coding RNA is filed under the name Marmota monax (woodchuck). Lineage: Eukaryota; Metazoa; Chordata; Mammalia; Rodentia; Sciuridae. The record is from RNAcentral.